Molecule: ribosomal RNA, 2907 nt
Filed under: Anaeroselena agilis
Lineage: Bacteria; Bacillati; Bacillota; Negativicutes; Acetonemataceae
Description: 23S ribosomal RNA
Rfam family: Bacterial large subunit ribosomal RNA
Source: RNAcentral
AGUCAAGCUAGUAAGGGCAUACGGCGGAUGCCUUGGCGCCAACAGCCGAAGAAGGACGCGGUAAGCUGCGAAAAACUGAGGGAGCCGCAAGCAGGCAUAGAUCCUCAGGUCUCCGAAUGGGGGAACCCGGAAUGCACGUCACCACGCUUUAAGCGUGAGGAGGGCACCCGGGAACGAAACAUCUAAGUACCCGGAGGAAAAGUAAUCAAACGAGAUUCCCUAGCGGGCGAGCGAACGGGGAAGAGCCCAAACCAGGGAGCUUCGGCUUCUUGGGGUUGAGGACCAGCAUAAUCUUGGUCAGGUCUAGUCGAACUACCUGGAAAGGUAGGCCACAGAAGGUAAGAGCCCUGUAGGCGAAAGACAGAGCCAAGUGGCUGGUAUCCAGAGUACCACGGGACACGAGAAACCCUGUGGGAAGCAGGGGACCACCCUCCAAGGCAAAAUACUCGUUGGCGACCGAUAGCGCAUAGUACCGUGAGGGAAAGGUGAAAAGCACCCCGGGAGGGGAGUGAAAAGUACCUGAAACCGUAUGUCUACAAGCAGUCGAAGCUGUAAAAGGCGACGGCGUGCCUAUUGAAGAAUGAACCGGCGAGUUACAGUCACUAGCGAGGUUAAGUGGGAAACACGGAGCCGCAGCGAAAGCGAGUCUUAAUAGGGCGACAGUUAGUGAUUGUAGACCCGAAACCGCAAGUGAUCUAUCCAUGACCAGGGUGAAGCGUAGGUAAAAUUACGUGGAGGCCCGAACCCGUGAGCGUUGAAAAGCUUUGGGAUGAGUUGUGGAUAGGGGUGAAAUGCCAAUCGAACGCGGAGAUAGCUGGUUCUCCCCAGAAAUAGCUUUAGGGCUAGCCUCAAGUGAUGACUUACGACGGUAGAGCUCUGAUUGGGCUAGGGGCCGUUAGGUUACCGAACUCUGUCAAACUGCGAAUGGAGUAAGUUUAACUUGGGAGUCAGACUGCGAGUGCUAAGAUCCGUAGUCAAGAGGGAAACAGCCCAGACCAUCAGCUAAGGUCCCCAAUGCCGUGCUAAGUGGCAAAGGAUGUGGCGAUACAAAAACAACCAGGAUGUUGGCUUAGAAGCAGCCACCAUUAAAAGAGUGCGUAAUAGCUCACUGGUCGAGUGUCGCUGCGCCGAAGAUGUCCGGGGCUAAAGCACGGAACCGAAGCUAUGGCUUGAACGAAAGUUCAGGGGUAGGGGAGCGUUCCUACUGGGUCGAAGUCGCAUCGAAAGGUGCGGUGGACUGGUAGGAAGUGAGAAUGCCGGUAUGAGUAGCGAAAAGGAAGGUGAGAAUCCUUCCCACCGAAAGCCUAAGGAUUCCUGAGGAAGGAUCGUCCGCUCAGGGUAAGUCGGGACCUAAGCCGAGGCGUAGAUGCGUAGGCGAUGGACAACUGGUUGAUAUUCCAGUACCACCCCAAGUCGUUUGAGUGAUGGAGUGACACAGUAAGGUAGGUAAUCGCGAGGAUGGAAAUUCGCGUCUAAACUAGUAGGGUGUUUGGGAGGCAAAUCCCCCAAACGAAAAGCCUGAGAAGUGACGGGGAGCCGAUAGCGAUAUUGGCGAACUUACUGACCCUAGACUGUCAAGAAAAGCUUCUAGCGAGACUUGUGGGUGCCCGUACCGCAAACCGACACAGGUAGGCGGGGAGAGAAUCCUAAGGUGCGCGGGAGAACCCUCGUUAAGGAACUCGGCAAAAUGUCCCCGUAACUUCGGGAGAAGGGGAGCCCUGGGACGUGUAGAUUAGAAACGAUUGAAGCGUCCUGGGGUCGCAGAAGAGAGGCCCAAGCGACUGUUUACCACAAACACAGGUGCCUGCUAAAGCGAAAGCUGACGUAUAGGUGCUGACACCUGCCCGGUGCUGGAAGGUUAAGGGGAGUGCUUAGAAGCAAUUCGAAGGUGUGAACCGAAGCCCCAGUAAACGGCGGCCGUAACUAUAACGGUCCUAAGGUAGCGAAAUUCCUUGUCGGGUAAGUUCCGACCCGCACGAAAGGUGUAACGACUUGGGCACUGUCUCAACGAGGGACCCGGUGAAAUUGAAAUACCUGUGAAGAUGCAGGUUACCCGCGACUGGACAGAAAGACCCCAUGGAGCUUUACUGCAGCCUGGCAUUGGAUUUUGGUAAAUCAUGUACAGGAUAGGUGGGAGACUUAGAAGCGAGGACGCAAGUCUUGGUGGAGUCGCCCUUGGGAUACCACCCUUGAUUUACUGGAGUUCUAACUGAAGAAGUAACGACUCUCAGGACAGUGCCAGGUGGGCAGUUUGACUGGGGCGGUCGCCUCCGAAAGUGUAACGGAGGCGCCCAAAGGUUCCCUCAGCGCGGUUGGAAAUCGCGCGCAGAGUGCAAAGGCAGAAGGGAGCUUGACUGCGAGUCAGACAAGACGAGCAGGGACGAAAGUCGGGCUUAGUGAUCCGGUGGUACCGAGUGGAAGGGCCAUCGCUCAACGGAUAAAAGCUACCCUGGGGAUAACAGGCUAAUCUCUCCCAAGAGUCCAUAUCGACGGGGAGGUUUGGCACCUCGAUGUCGGCUCAUCACAUCCUGGGGCUGAAGUAGGUCCCAAGGGUUGGGCUGUUCGCCCAUUAAAGUGGUACGUGAGCUGGGUUCAGAACGUCGUGAGACAGUUCGGUCCCUAUCCAUCGCGGGCGUAAGAGACUUGAGGGGAACUGCUCCUAGUACGAGAGGACCGGAGUGGACUGACCAAUGGUGUACCAGUUAUCCCGCCAGGGGUACAGCUGGGUAGCUACGUCGGGAACGGAUAAACGCUGAAAGCAUCUAAGCGUGAAACCGGCCUCAAGAUGAGGUCUCUCACAGCGUAAGCUGGUAAGGCCCCUUGUAGAACACGAGGUUGAUAGGCCAGGAGUGUAAGGGCAGUAAUGUCUUCAGCUGACUGGUACUAAUAGGCCGAGGGCUUGACUUA